AGGACGAACGCUGGCGGCGUGCUUAACACAUGCAAGUCGAGCGGUAAGGCCCUUCGGGGUACACGAGCGGCGAACGGGUGAGUAACACGUGAGCAAUCUGCCCUCCACAUCGGGAUAACCCCCCGGAAACGGGAGCUAAUACCGGAUACGACCACUUCAGGCAUCUGAUGGUGGUGGAAAGUUCCGGCGGUGGAGGAUGAGCUCGCGGCCUAUCAGCUUGUUGGUGGGGUAACGCCCACCAAGGCUUCGACGGGUAGCCGGCCUGAGAGGGUGACCGGCCACACUGGGACUGAGACACGGCCCAGACUCCUACGGGAGGCAGCAGUGGGGAAUAUUGGACAAUGGGCGAAAGCCUGAUCCAGCAACGCCGCGUGAGGGAUGACGGCCUUCGGUUGUAACCUCUUUCAGCAGGGACGAAGCGAAAGUGACGGUACCGUGCAGAAGAAGCACCGGCCAACUACGUGCCAGCAGCCGCGGU
RNAcentral lists this ribosomal RNA (478 nucleotides) under uncultured bacterium. RNAcentral's name for it is "SSU rRNA". It matches the Rfam family "Bacterial small subunit ribosomal RNA", at positions 26 to 521 of the family's 1533-position model. The record is from RNAcentral.